Molecule: ribosomal RNA, 506 nt
Filed under: uncultured bacterium
Lineage: Bacteria
Description: partial 16S ribosomal RNA
Rfam family: Bacterial small subunit ribosomal RNA
Source: RNAcentral
AUUGAACGCUGGCGGCAUGCCUUACACAUGCAAGUCGAACGGCAGCAUGAUCUAGCUUGCUAGAUUGAUGGCGAGUGGCGAACGGGUGAGUAAUACAUCGGAACGUGCCCUGUAGUGGGGGAUAACUAGUCGAAAGAUUAGCUAAUACCGCAUACGACCUGAGGGUGAAAGUGGGGGACCGCAAGGCCUCAUGCUAUAGGAGCGGCCGAUGUCUGAUUAGCUAGUUGGUGGGGUAAAGGCCCACCAAGGCGACGAUCAGUAGCUGGUCUGGGAGGACGAUCAGCCACACUGGGACUGGGACACGGCCCAGACUCCUACGGGAGGCAGCAGUGGGGAAUUUUGGACAAUGGGGGCAACCCUGAUCCAGCAAUGCCGCGUGUGUGAAGAAGGCCUUCGGGUUGUAAAGCACUUUUGUCCGGAAAGAAAUCGCACUUACUAAUAUUAGGUGUGGAUGACGGUACCGGAAGAAUAAGGACCGGCUAACUACGUGCCAGCCGCCGCGGUAA